UGGGGAAUUUUGGACAAUGGGCGAAAGCCUGAUCCAGCCAUGCCGCGUGAGCGAAGAAGGCCUUCGGGUUGUAAAGCUCUUUUAGUCGGAAAGAAAGAGUUGCAAUGAAUAAUUGUGAUUUAUGACGGUACCGACAGAAAAAGCACCGGCUAACUACGUGCCAGCAGCCGCGGUAAUACGUAGGGUGCGAGCGUUAAUCGGAAUUACUGGGCGUAAAGGGUGCGCAGGCGGUCUUGCAAGUCAGAUGUGAAAGCCCCGGGCUUAACCUGGGAAUUGCGUUUGAAACUACAAGGCUAGAGUGCAGCAGAGGGGAGUGGAAUUCCAUGUGUAGCAGUGAAAUGCGUAGAGAUGUGGAAGAACACCGAUGGCGAAGGCAGCUCCCUGGGUUGACACUGACGCUCAUGCACGAAAGCGUGGGGAGCAAACAGGAUUAGAUACCCCAGUAGUCCCUGAGCGGGCUGGCAAGGCGCAU
RNAcentral lists this ribosomal RNA (472 nucleotides) under uncultured bacterium. RNAcentral's name for it is "bacterial SSU rRNA". It matches the Rfam family "Bacterial small subunit ribosomal RNA", at positions 355 to 825 of the family's 1533-position model. The record is from RNAcentral.